Molecule: ribosomal RNA, 253 nt
Filed under: uncultured bacterium
Lineage: Bacteria
Description: partial 16S ribosomal RNA
Rfam family: Bacterial small subunit ribosomal RNA
Source: RNAcentral
UACGAAGGUGGCAAGCGUUGUUCGGAUUUACUGGGCGUACAGGGAGCGUAGGCGGUUGGAUAAGCCCUCCGUGAAAUCUCCAGGCUUAACCUGGAAAGUGCAGAGGGGAGUGUUCAGCUAGAGGAUGGGAGAGGAGCGCGGAAUUCCCGGUGUAGCGGUGAAAUGCGUAGAGAUCGGGAGGAAGGCCGGUGGCGAAGGCGGCGCUCUGGAACAUUUCUGACGCUGAGGCUCGAAAGCGUGGGGAGCAAACAGG